Molecule: long non-coding RNA, 2693 nt
Organism: Mus musculus (house mouse)
Lineage: Eukaryota; Metazoa; Chordata; Mammalia; Rodentia; Muridae
Product: predicted gene, 34699
Exons: 8
Source: RefSeq, a predicted model, not a curated record
AAGCUCUAGAGGCCCACAGGGAGGGAGGGGGAGAGAAUCACUGCCUGAGAGCAGGCGUAGUGCGGUGGACCCGGGCCCUGGGCAGCAUCCCAGGCACUCCGCGGACCACUGCAGACGCAGCCAUCUGUGAUUGUGAUUGAUAUUUCUCCUGUGAAUUCACACUAGCUGAUGUUCUUUCAUUGCAAACCGAGGAAUCUUAUUAUUCUCCAAGGAUAGAUGUGAACCUGUGGAGGACAAAAAGGCAUCAGAUCCCCUGGAACUGGAUGGCCAUGAGUGGUAACAUACAUACUGUGACCCAAACACAGCUCCCUGAACCUGAGAACACUGUGAAAAUGUCCAGACAGUCCUCGCUUCUACACAUGCCUGGCUUCACGGACAACACAAUCCGGAGCUUUCCUGAUAUCGCUUAUUAGGAAGCCCGAACACCUCUUUUCUGGAAUCAAAUGUUUAACAGGGAAGAAAACACUUUAUAAGUAUGCCACGGCUUUGAACAAGAUAAACAGCUAAACAAACAUUUCCAGACUCCACUCUGCAAGAGCCACUUCACUAGUCACAAUGGAACUUCAGACAGCCGUUCUUCUCUUUGAUUCUGAGGUCCCUGAGUGGUGAUGAUAAACAGAGGCGGAGAAGGUAGAGCACAUCACAGACAGAAGAUGGGCUUGUGUAUCUGCUGUCCCUGGAUCUCCUUGUCCAUCUUCCUACUGUGGAUGCAUUGAAUAAAUCUCCCUAGAAAAGAAUGUCACAGGCUUAUGAUUGACCACUUGGGUUGUCCACUGUGGAGGCUUGCCCUCAGAGAAGACUGUUUCAUCUUCUCUUAGAAGCAGUGCGUAUGAGUACCCCAUCAGUGGUUCUCUGUAUUAUAACCAAUUGUGAAUCUUACUGAUGGCCCCCAAUUCACUACAAAAAUCAAGCUUCUCUGAAGAGGGAUGAAAGCUAGACUUACUUGCAAACACCUUCGACUGGAUCCAUGGAACAAAAUACAGAUUUCCAAAAGAAAAACAUACAAAUUUGUGAACUAUAAAUGUUAUAUGACGAAGAUUACUUUAUAAGGUCUCAACGAUCAAGAUAAAUGUGGGACUUGAGUGUUUCAUAGGUUUGAUGCUGGCUGUAGGGCUGUGGAGAAGUAUGAGAAGACAAGGGAGAGUUGAGCUAAGACUCAUCCCUUCAGUUGUUCUUAGCAUCCUUCAGUCAUCCCCAACAAGAAUGUCCUUUUCAUGAAGGGUGAGGAGAGCACCUUUUAUAUGAAGAUUUCAUGAUCUUCUUCAGAGAAUGUCAGAAAGUCUUGCUUGUACCUGUUUUUUUUUUCUCUCAAAUCCUUUCAGCUUUAAAUAUUCAGUACCCCAGGGUGACACACACACACACACACACACACACACACACACACGUUGUCUUGAUCUUGAACAUCUCUUACCUGCCAUGAUGAAAUAUACUCUCACAGUGCUUCACAACAUAGGUGACCACUCCCUGCUAGAAUAUUCAGUCAAAAUCUGCUAUCCUAGCCUUAGUGCAGCCUGAGUUUAACAUCAAACAUCUAUUUUAUUUAACCACCUAAGUGAUAAUCAAACCUAACAUUUCAUGUAUCCUGCGACAGAAGCCCAGGGAAGACACAUUUGACAUUUGCUGUCAUUAAGCAUUUUCAGUUUUAUUUUUCCUGAUGCAGAUGAAUGAAGUGGGAGGAAGUUCAGUCCUGAAUAUUACAGCUUUAAAAGAAGUCACCAUUACUUUUGAUUGCUUAGAAAUUGUAGCAGCAAAGAGACCACCUAUGAGGAAAAUAGAGAUAAUUACAAACAACAAUUGCUGCUGUCAACUGCGGCACUCAUAACUCAGCCUCAGCGUGAAAAGCUUGUAACUAACACAUCAGAUAUUCAUCUCCUCUGUAUCACCAUUUUAGACUUGGAAACUAGACUAUAGCAAAGCCAAAGGUAAUAGCAGGAAAGGUUGGCAUUGAUGUCUUUGGUUUAGACUGCAUGAGAAGUUUCUAAUUACUCAAAAUCAAAGCCCAAAUGUUCAACUCUGCAGAAAAAAAAAAUGUAUUAUGUUAAGGUUAUGUAUCAAUCACCAUGGCAAUUUUUUUCCUGUACCUCAGCAUUUCCUAUAGAUGGCACUUGAAUCAUUUUGUUUAUUUUGCUCAGCUGUAUAAGGAAUAGCACUUCACCGCUGAUAACAUGCCUUGAAUUGCCAAUUCUAAAGCCAUUUAAGAGAAACUUCAUAGCUCCUAGAUAGAAGUAUGUGUCUUUCAGUAGCCCAGCAGUCAAUUAUAUUGGACACUUCUAUAGUAAAGUAAUUGUGACUUACUUAUGAAGACUCACUUUUUGAAACAGUUAUUUAUUUCACUUCCUGUGAAGCAUUUUUAAAAGCAUAUUUAAUAUUGGGGCUUUUUAGUAAAUGUCAUUUUCCUUUCUUAUUUAUUUUGCUUUAAUGUAUCACAUGUCCACACAAUAAGCAGCCACCAAGACAAAUCAAGUCAUAUAAAAAGGAAAGUGUAUAUUUUAGGUAUAAUGGAUUAAUCUGAUAAAAUCAAAAUACUUUAAUAAAAAAUUCUUUUUAUUAUUAAAUGACUUUUUUUUUAAUAAUGCAGAUUUAGAUAAUAUGCUUACUGCUUUUUUGGUGUCUUUGAUUUGUAGCCUGGUAACACAAAUUCCACAAGUCUGAUGUGUCGAUUGACAUACAGAAAUAAACUGCCUUGUUUAUUU